This is a long non-coding RNA of Thalassophryne amazonica, 1774 nucleotides long. RefSeq lists it as uncharacterized. NCBI's taxonomy places the organism in Eukaryota, Metazoa, Chordata, Actinopteri, Batrachoidiformes, Batrachoididae. The transcript is spliced from 3 exons. The record is from RefSeq and is a predicted model, not a curated record.
AUCAUUUGACUUUUGGCAGAGACAAUUGUGCAUGUUCUUGAUUUUGACUAAACCUGUCAGUCAUACAUCACAUCUCAAACAUUAUUUCUGUCAGGGGUUACCGUUCAGUAAAUGGCCGCUUAGUCGUGUCAUAAAUAUGCAAUUGCUUAAUGCCAUGUGUGUUCAAUUUGAAGUAUACAUUAAAAAAAAUAAACAUUUUCUUGUAUUGCUUUUAUAAAGCUUCAGAAACAUUUUGGCAAUAGAAAAAGGGAAAAUAAUAAAGUUAAAUAAACCCAACAACUGUUUAGUGUUUCUGAUAGACUUAGACUUAAAACAUGAUUUAAUUUUUACUUUCAUGAUUUAAAAACAGGAUUUUAACAAAUAUUAAAUAACUAUAUAUGUAUUAUAUUAUAUAUGCAAUCCCCCCCCACACACACACCCCUUUGUGAAUAGUUGUGCAAGUGGGGGUACAUUGUCUUGCCCAAUAUGUCAAGACUCAGGGUCAAUCGGAGGAUGAGACUGAAUUGCAAAAAAAUUAUUGCUAUCAUUCUGCUAUAUCAGUGUGCACACAUGUACAUAUCCGCAUAUCCGGCAAUUAAAAAAUAAAAUCAUUUCUGAGUGUUACCACUUCAUAUGCACCAUAGCUUAGCUGUGCAAUAGGUUUUGUUAAAGCCGGUUACAGGUUUUCCAGGAAAUCUUGAAGACUUUUGUUCUCUGGAGCUCUUCAACUGUACUUUGGCAGGUCUGAAGAUCAUGUAGGACUUCCUCUGAACAUGUUUUGUUUCUUACUGUAUUUGCUUUAAAUUGUCUAAUUUAAUGAGAUGUUAUAUUGAGAAUCUCUUUAUCUCUCUGACUUUAAUGAUACAGAAAAAUCAGUAGUUGUUUGGUGGAUUUCAUAAUUAAGCAAAGUCUUUGUUAAUUACUAAAAAAAAUAUCUCAGGAUUGAGCUUCAAUUGACAUACACCAGUAGUAAUGACAUUGUAGAAACGUGUUAAUGUUCUUCUUAAACAGAAAACUUACUUGAAUGCCACUGAAUGGGAACUGUUAACCAUAAUUGCAGGUUGUGGUCCAACCCAAAUUCUAAGUUGUAGUGCUGAGGGUGAAACCAGGGGAGCUACAUGGGCGUUGUGGGUGACAAGGUCAUCAGCAUGGCCUAUGUUAUGUUUAGACUUUUAAGAACUUGUUGGACAGCUGGUUGACUUCAUGGUAAAAUGGCUUCAGGUACUUUUAAAUUGAGAUGGUCCUCUAGGAGAACCCAGUCACAACCAUUUGGUUCAAGUUUAGCUUGUUAAGCUGACUCGAUAAAAAUAAAAAGUGUAAAAGUUGCAAAUUUAUCACCAAGCACAGACAUGCAACAUCAGGCUUUUUCAGAAGGAGAUGGCUACAGGUACAAGACUCGUAUUCCAAGCAGUAAUGGCUACAGGUUUGAGAUAUUUCUGCUCAGAACAAAGUAUCAUUAUAUAACAAUGUAUUAAUAUUGUAUUGCAAGACUGCUAACCCAGUAAUAAUGGUAACAAUCCAUACUGUAUCUGUAUUUUAAUUUAUUGUGGUUAUAACACAUAAGACUUCAUGAGAUUGCUGCCAUGUGCAGUUUUCAUCAAAAUCAUUUUCAAUCAAAAUUCAAAUAGAUUAGUUUAGAUUAGAUAGAACUUUAUUGAUCCCUUGGGAAGAGUCCUUCUAAGAAAUUGAGGUUCCACCAGCAUUGUAAAGCAGCGCAGAGGGUAAGAAGCGCACAGAGUAUCAAAAAAAAAAAAAAAAAAAAAAAAAAAAUCACCAUUUUUUGCAAAUGAAAUUA